Molecule: ribosomal RNA, 262 nt
Filed under: uncultured archaeon
Lineage: Archaea
Description: partial 16S ribosomal RNA
Rfam family: Archaeal small subunit ribosomal RNA
Source: RNAcentral
AGUCACUGACAUUAGAUACCCUGUAGUCCCAGCCGUAAACUAUGCGCGUUAGGUGUACUGGUGACCACGAGUCACCGGGUGCCGAAGGGAAGCUGUUAAGUCCGCCGCCUGGGAAGUACGGUCGCAAGACUGAAACUUAAAGGAAUUGGCGGGGAGCACCACAACACGUGGAGCCUGCGGUUUAAUUGGAUUCAACGCCGGACAUCUCACCAGAGGCGACAGCUGUAUGAUAGCCAGGUUGAUGACUUUGCUUGACUAGCUG